UACGAUGGUCCCAAGCGUUGUUCGGAAUCACUGGGCGUAAAGGGAGCGUAGGCGGCGCGGUAAGUCAGAUGUGAAAUCCCGGGGCUCAACCCCGGAACUGCAUCCGAUACUGCCGUGCUUGAGCAAUGGAGAGGUAGCUGGAAUUCUCGGUGUAGCAGUGAAAUGCGUAGAUAUCGAGAGGAACACUCGUGGCGAAAGCGAGCUACUGGACAUUUGCUGACGCUGAGGCUCGAAGGCUAGGGGAGCGAAAGGG
Molecule: ribosomal RNA, 253 nt
Filed under: uncultured bacterium
Lineage: Bacteria
Description: partial 16S ribosomal RNA
Rfam family: Bacterial small subunit ribosomal RNA
Source: RNAcentral